RNAcentral lists this ribosomal RNA (915 nucleotides) under uncultured bacterium. RNAcentral describes it as "bacterial SSU rRNA". It matches the Rfam family "Bacterial small subunit ribosomal RNA", at positions 8 to 916 of the family's 1533-position model. The record is from RNAcentral.
AGAGUUUGAUCCUGGCUCAGAUUGAACGCUGGCGGAAUGCUUUACACAUGCAAGUCGAACGGCAGCACGGGAGCUUGCUCCUGGUGGCGAGUGGCGAACGGGUGAGUAAUGCGUCGGAACGUGCCCAGUAGUGGGGGAUAGCCCGGCGAAAGCCGGAUUAAUACCGCAUACGACCUACGGGUGAAAGCGGGGGAUCGCAAGACCUCGCGCUAUUGGAGCGGCCGAUGUCAGAUUAGGUAGUUGGUGAGGUAAAGGCUCACCAAGCCUUCGAUCUGUAGCUGGUCUGAGAGGACGACCAGCCACACUGGGACUGAGACACGGCCCAGACUCCUACGGGAGGCAGCAGUGGGGAAUUUUGGACAAUGGGCGAAAGCCUGAUCCAGCCAUUCCGCGUGAGUGAAGAAGGCCUUCGGGUUGUAAAGCUCUUUCGGCAGGAAAGAAAUCGUUGCUCCUAAUACGAGUAAUGGAUGACGGUACCUGAAGAAGAAGCACCGGCUAACUACGUGCCAGCAGCCGCGGUAAUACGUAGGGUGCGAGCGUUAAUCGGAAUUACUGGGCGUAAAGCGUGCGCAGGCGGUUUUGUAAGUCAGAUGUGAAAGCCCCGGGCUCAACCUGGGAAUGGCGUUUGAAACUGCAAGGCUAGAGUGUGUCAGAGGGGGGUAGAAUUCCACGUGUAGCAGUGAAAUGCGUAGAGAUGUGGAGGAAUACCGAUGGCGAAGGCAGCCCCCUGGGAUAACACUGACGCUCAUGCACGAAAGCGUGGGGAGCAAACAGGAUUAGAUACCCUGGUAGUCCACGCCCUAAACGAUGUCAACUAGUUGUCGGGAGGGUAACCCUCUUGGUAACGCAGCUAACGCGUGAAGUUGACCGCCUGGGGAGUACGGUCGCAAGAUUAAAACUCAAAGGAAUUGACGG